This 301-nucleotide ribosomal RNA is filed under the name uncultured bacterium. RNAcentral describes it as "partial 16S ribosomal RNA". It matches the Rfam family "Bacterial small subunit ribosomal RNA", at positions 509 to 807 of the family's 1533-position model. The record is from RNAcentral.
CAGUCGCCACGGUAAUACGUAGGGUCCGAGCGUUGUCCGGAAUUAUUGGGCGUAAAGGGCUCGUAGGCGGUUUGUUGCGUCGGGAGUGAAAACCCAGGGCUUAACUUUGGGCUUGCUUUCGAUACGGGCAGACUUGAGGCAUUGAGGGGGGAACGGAAUUCCUGGUGUAGCGGUGAGAUGCGCAGAUAUCAGGAGGAACACCGGUGGCGAAGGCGGUUCUCUGGCAAUGUUCUGACGCUGAGGAGCGAAAGUGUGGGGAGCAAACAGGAUUAGAUACCCCGGUAGUCCCUGUCUCUUAUAC